AAUAGAAGAAUGACAAAUCAAUUUUUUACUCCUGAUUUUCAGUUUUUUCCUCCUUACAAAAUUUAAAUCCAACUAAAAAUGCUAAAAAUCAGGAGAAAAAGUUUGAUUUGUCAUCAUCUUAUU
This is a non-coding RNA of Gossypium raimondii (Peruvian cotton), 123 nucleotides long. The record is from Rfam. NCBI's taxonomy places the organism in Eukaryota, Viridiplantae, Streptophyta, Magnoliopsida, Malvales, Malvaceae.